This 253-nucleotide ribosomal RNA is filed under the name uncultured bacterium. Its description in RNAcentral is "partial 16S ribosomal RNA". It matches the Rfam family "Bacterial small subunit ribosomal RNA", at positions 524 to 776 of the family's 1533-position model. The record is from RNAcentral.
GACGAAGGAUGCAAGCGUUAUCCGGAUUCAUUGGGUUUAAAGGGAGCGUAGGUGGCCUUAUAAGUCAGCGGUGAAAUCUCUGGGCUUAACCCAGAAAUUGCCAUUGAUACUGUAGGGCUUGAGUACAGUUGCUGUGGGCGGAAUAUGACAUGUAGUGGUGAAAUACAUAGAGAUGUCAUAGAACACCGAUUGCGAAGGCAGCUCACAAAACUGUAACUGACACUGAGGCUCGAAAGUGUGGGGAUCAAACAGG